AUGUCAACAGCAAGCGAAGGACAACUGCAGCCUUGCAGAUUAGCCUCCAAAGCCAAAAACAGCAGGCUGUCCGAGGGGAAUGGUGAGCACCAUAAAAGGUUAUCUUCCCUUCAACAAGGCGCGUCUCCUCCAAGACCUUUACUGGGAAAGGUCUGAAACAUGAUAGUCACAACUUUCCAGGAAAGAAAAUGAAAAAUGUUCAGAGUUCAAAAAACUCAUUAUAAACUGUGCAUGCUUUUAUUGUUUGGCCAAUAAUUUCUUGUUUACUUUAAUAGCGAUCAAAGCAACAAAAUAAAUAAAUAAAAUAAAUGGCUGAAAACAGCCCACUAAAUCAAAGAAUUAACAGAGAAUUCAAUUUCUUUGGAAAUAAGGUGUUUUCUGAUGAAACCCUCAAGAAAAAAUCCUUUUCAAUAGAUGUAGAUAGUAUCAGUUAUAGUUAUUGUUUUUUUUUUACUUGAAUAAAUGUUACAUUAAGAUGGAAACGUGAGUGUUCAGGAAAGAAAAUUACCUUAUUAACCCACUGUCUUAAAUGUGAUCUACACAUCUUUUUAACAUGGUGUAACUGCAUUAUGAAUAAUUCAUUAUUAAUAAUUUUGCAUUAUUUUAAUACAGCAAGUAGUCAUUUUAAACAGGAACUAAAAUAGAUGAAUUCUUCUCACCAUAAAGUUUUACAAUCAGCUAAAUUUUCAUGCCAAAGGUGUUUUUGAUAUUUAAUGGAAGCAGCCAUUUUGAAAUGAGCAGGCCCUUCUACUGCCCCUAGUGGAUUGAUGAUGAACUACUUGGCAGAAAACAUGAACCAUAUUACAGUAGGUUUUUAAAGAAGGUUUGGACUAUGCUAUAUGAGAUUGAGGUCUCAGAAAUGAAUGGUGCAAAUAUGAUAUUAAUGCUUAUAUAGGGUUAAUUAAAAUGUAACUGUUCUGGUGAAAAACAGCCAUAAUAUGUGAGAUGUUUAUUUUAGUGUUUUUUAUGCAUAAAAAAUUCCAACAUUUUUUUCGUUAAGAUGUUGACAAGUCAACAAUAUUUUUUUAUUUUUCUUGAAAUGCUCAAUCUUUCACAAAUGAACAUUAGUGUCUUUACAUACAGUCAUGUCAAAAGGAAGCAAUGGUAACCCCAGCCAAACCAACGACCACCUGUCUCUAAACACCGCCUGCGAUCUUUUUCUCUCUCUCCUUUUUUUGUCCAUUUUUUCAUAAAACCAUCAGCAAAACCACAAUCACGGUUUUUUACACACUGAAAAAAUGGGAGGGGGGUGAGGCUACUACAUGUCAUCACAGUCAGCAGAAGAGAAGACACAGUAUAGAGGAAAACAGAACAUCACCUUGGCUGAAAAGAGGAUAUAAAAACCAAACAAAACAAACAUUACAGUGUGAAACUUUACAUUUAUACACAAGCACCAAAAAGCCAAACAUGGUACAUAGACAUUAAAACUAGAAUCCAGUGAAGGCAAUUCAUCAGAACCCAGCAGGCUAUCACGGGAAAGAAAAACAUAUUGGAGUCACAUAGAAAAGAAGAAAAAAAAAGUAAUAAUUGAAUCUUUUUUUUGGGAUCAAAUUAAAAAAUGUUCUGUUGGCAUCCAUUUUUCCCUUCGCUACAACUCUAGUCACCAAUUAUACGUUUUCUAGGGGCUUUGGGGGUCACCUUGGAUCACACUACAAAGCCAGGAUAAGACCACAAAAAUAAACAGUAGCUAUGCAGAGCUUUUUGCCUCCACACCAGAUUAACUCGUCAUGAACUCAGUGCACUUUAGUGUUUACAUAAAUGUGCCUUAAGCCCCCCACCCCCCUUUUUGUGUCUAAGUCCUCUUACCAACACCAGAAUUCGAACUUCUUGCUUUGAUGCGUAUCUAUACAGGUCUAUACACAUUCCCUGUCUAUGUUCCAGUAGGCUUUUCCAUUUUUUUUUAAGUGAUGGGCAUGGGAGGUUGGAAAUAAAUACAGUGGGCUAGCGAAUGGUAACA
Long non-coding RNA from Oryzias sinensis (Chinese medaka), 1957 nucleotides. NCBI's taxonomy places the organism in Eukaryota, Metazoa, Chordata, Actinopteri, Beloniformes, Adrianichthyidae. The record is from Ensembl.